UUGCAUUUGGGACAAAUUCUUUACUUGCCUUGUGAAGGCUAUACUAAUAUGGAGCUCUCAAUUAAAAGAGAAGGAAUUAAUACUAUAUUAGGCAGAACUUUUACUAGAAGUUUGAAUAAAUUAGAAGCAAAAAUUCUUUCUGUUGAGAUGAGGCUAUUACAUCACAUGGUAACCAAACUGUUUGUCCCUAGGAGUGGCAGACAUGACCUCC
Molecule: long non-coding RNA, 211 nt
Filed under: Elaeis guineensis (African oil palm)
Lineage: Eukaryota; Viridiplantae; Streptophyta; Magnoliopsida; Arecales; Arecaceae
Description: long non-coding RNA (EGUI_LNC021729)
Source: RNAcentral